AGCAGCCGCGGUAAUUCCAGCUCCAAUAGCGUAUAUUAAAGUUGUUGCAGUUAAAAAGCUCGUAGUUGAAUUUCGGAAUCUGUCCAUCGGUCGGGCUUCACUGUCCGUACUGGUGUGGUGGGUUCUUACCUUCUGAAUAACCAGCAUGCCAUUCACUUGGUGCGUUGGGGAAGCAGGACUAUUACCUUGAAAAAUUAGAGUGCUCAAAGCAGGCCAGUGCCUGAAUACAUUAGCAUGGAAUAAUAAAAUAGGACGGCAUGGUUCUAUUUUGUUGGUUUCUAGGAUCACCGUAAUGAUUAAUAGGGAUAGUUGGGGGCAUUAGUACUCAAUUGUCAGAGGUGAAAUUCUUGGAUUUAUUGAAGACUAACUUCUGCGAAAGCAUUUGCCAAGGAUGUUUUCAUUAAUCAAGAACGAAAGUUAGGGGAUCGAAGACGAUCAGAUACCGUCGUAGUCUUAACCAUAAACUAUGCCGACUAGGGAUCGGACGAUGUUAAUUUUAAUGACUCGUUCGGCG
Molecule: ribosomal RNA, 514 nt
Filed under: uncultured Glomeromycotina
Lineage: Eukaryota; Fungi; Glomeromycota
Description: SSU rRNA
Rfam family: Eukaryotic small subunit ribosomal RNA
Source: RNAcentral